AUGAAAAUUCUUCCACCAAGCCUAUCGAAGGCAACUAGCCUCCGGUUGCUUGUACUUGAUGGUUGUGAUGGACUAGAAAGCAUUGGUAGGCUCCCUCCCUCCCUUGAAUCAUUUAGCUUCAAUGGAUAUGGGCCAGCUUCUCAAUGGACAGAAACUGCUGAGCUACCUUCAAAACAAUUUCUUCCAUCCAGCAGAACAGAUAAUAAGGAUGUCAGAAUAUCCAAGAUCUCCUUAGCAGGCUGCACCCAGUUGGGGAAUUUGUACUUGUGUUGGCUACCCAACCUAGUGGAAUUGGACCUCUCUGGAACAUCAAUCAAGAUACUUGACUUCAAGACUAUGGUGGUGCAAAUCCCAAGGCUCAAGCGGCUGUUUCUAAUAGGAUGCAAGCACCUUCGUGCAAUAACCUUUUUGCACGAGAGUGUUCCUGACCUGGAGUUGCUGUGUGUAGACACACGAGCUGGAAUCGUGUGUCCUCUUCGGCCAUCCAUCAGCAAAAACAAACCUUUCAGGUUGCAGGUGCAUGGUGUUGUUGUAGAUGCAAGGCUUACUCACUCCUUGUCGAAUCUGAUCUUUAAUUAUAUACAAGGUGAUGUGCACUUUAAUAUCCAUGUCACAUCCUCACCUAUGUAUGACGGGGUUAUUCAAUUUGAAGCAACCAGCAAGGAUAUGAUUGGCCCCAGUGAUCAAGAGAGCCUGCAACUUAUUCCAACAGGCCGGUACAGUGAUGUCCUUGGGAUGGUUGGCGUUGUCCCAGUGCAGGCCUUUCCACAGCCUCCGACUACAAAGUUUGAUCGACAUGUAGAGAUUGCUGAUGGGAGCUUCUAUGUGGAGAGAGAACUUGACGAAGCACUAGGCGAACUGAUGGAAAAGCGUGCAGAAUCCCUGCAUGUGCAUGAUGUCUUGGUACAUGCUAUUCUGCCUAAAUACAGAUCGUGGAUGAAGCUUAGGUGGUGCUGCGUGGAGAGGUGCCCAAAAGUGGAUACUGUCUUCCCUGGGAAUCCAUACAGAUUUACUGCAUUGGAGACCUUCUGGGUGUCAGAUGUCCUAAUGGCCCGCUCGAUUUUUAGUAAAGGUUCACGCUUUAACCGAUAUGGUGAGAUUGGAUCCUUCAAAAAUUUACAGCACCUUCAGCUGCGUUCAUGCCCCAGCCUCCAGUUUGUGCUCCCUCUCUGGGUCUCCUCCUUCCCCAGCUUGGAGACCCUCCACAUCAUCCACUGCGGCGACCUCAACCACAUCUUCAUACUGGACGAAGAGUACCCUGAAGAAAUAACUAGCCACGGUGUACUAUUCCCGAAGCUGACCGCCAUCCACAUGCACGACCUACCGAAGCUGCAGGAGAUAUGCGAGGUCAAGAUGGUGGCCCCAAUGCUUGAGAGCCUCAAGAUCAGGGGAUGCUGGAGCCUGCGCCGGCUGCCAUCCGUGGGUGCCCGUGGCCAAGGCGAGAAGAAGCCGACGGUCGAGAUCGAGAAGGACGUGUGCGACGCUCUAGAGUGGGAUGCCGGUCACCACCCUGACCACUUCGAGGCACCGGUCCACUCGCGCUACUACAAGGAGAAGCUGCCCAGGGUCUCAGUGCUCAGGUGA
RNAcentral lists this ribosomal RNA (1584 nucleotides) under Triticum aestivum (bread wheat). RNAcentral's name for it is "partial small subunit ribosomal RNA". The record is from RNAcentral. Lineage: Eukaryota; Viridiplantae; Streptophyta; Magnoliopsida; Poales; Poaceae.